RNAcentral lists this ribosomal RNA (3036 nucleotides) under Triticum aestivum (bread wheat). Its description in RNAcentral is "partial small subunit ribosomal RNA". Lineage: Eukaryota; Viridiplantae; Streptophyta; Magnoliopsida; Poales; Poaceae. The record is from RNAcentral.
AUGAAAGCUGCCAGGUUACUUCUGUGGGUGUUGGCGGCUUGCAGCGCACAUGUCGUCAUCUGCAACACCUCCAUCUCGUACGGAAACGAGACGGAUCGGUUAUCGCUGCUUGCAUUCAAGGAUGCAAUCAUCAGUCUCGGUCCACAACAAACCUUCAUGUCCUGGAACCAUAGCACUCACUUCUGCAAUUGGGAAGGUGUCCUAUGCAGGGUCAAGGCUCCACGUCGUGUCACUUCUCUAAACCUUACAAGUCGAGGUUUGGUGGGGCACAUCUCUCCUUCACUUGGAAACCUAACAUUCAUGCGGUCUCUGGUCCUCACAGAGAACACACUCGCCGGGGAGAUCCCACCCUCGCUUGGUCACCUACCUCGCCUCCAAACCUUCCUCUUGAAUAGUAACAUGCUACAAGGAAGGGUGCCGAGUUUCGCUAACUGCUCAAAGCUCAAGGUGAUGGAUGUUUCGAAAAACAACCUAGUAGGCCAUCUCCAUGCCAACUUGCCUCUUUACUUGCAAGUGUUGCACGUUUGGUCUAAUAACCUUACUGGCACCAUCCCAGCUACUCUUGCCAAUAUCACAACAUUAACCCAAAUUAACUGCCAAGAUAAUCACAUCAAGGGAAAUAUCCCAAGUGAAUUUGCACAUUUGUCCAGCUUGCAGCACCUGUCUGCCAGUGCUAAUCGGCUAUCAGGAAGAUUUCCACAAGCCAUCUUGAAUCUUUCUACUCUUACCAUCCUCGAACUUGCUGCCAAUGGUCUAAGUGGAGAGGUUCCACCAAAUCUCUUUACCUCUCUUCCCGAUCUCCAGAUACUUUUCUUAGGUGGCAACUUAUUUUUAGGGCACCUUCCUAGUUCAUUCACCAACGCUUCCAAUAUACAAGCUCUCGAUUUGUCAAGAAACAACUUCACAGGAUUGAUGCCUACCACGAUUGGAAAACUUACCAAACUCUUGAGCUUGAAUCUUGAAAAUAAUGAACUCCAAGCACACAACAGAGAAGAUUGGGAGUUUUUGAAUAGCUUAGGCAACUGCACGGAGCUACAAAUGUUUUCCAUGGGUUAUAAUCAUCUAUCAGGGCAUGUACCGAGUUCAUUAGGUAACCUUUCAAGUCAACUCCAGGAAUUAUACUUGACAAACAAUCAACUAUCAGGAGAUUUUCCAUCUGGCAUAGCAAACCUUCGCAACCUGAUUUUUGUAGCAUUGGGACGAAAUAACUUUACAGGUGUGGUUCCUAUGUGGAUAGGAACUCUCAAAGCUGUGCAGGUAAUAGGCUUAUUCAAAAACUUCUUUGCGGGGGCCCUCCCAUCAUCCUUGUCAAACUUGACUCAAUUGGGAGCUCUCUACCUACGCUCGAACCAGUUCACCGGUCACAUACCAUCAAGCUUUGGAAACUUUCCAAUGCUUCAAAUAUUGGACAUUUCCCGCAAUGAACUCCAUGGCAAGGUUCCAAUGGAGAUCUUUAGAAUCCCAGCAAUAACUGGAAUUGAUUUAUCAUUCAAUAGCCUUGAUGGACAACUUCCUACGGGCAUUGGAAAUGCCAAACAACUCGUGAUAUUGAGAGUUUCAUCAAAUAAACUAUCCGGAGAUAUUCCAAACACUUUGGGUGAUUGUGAAAGCUUAGAAGGCAUUGAGUUAGAUUCAAACAUUUUCAGCGGAAGCAUUCCCACAUCGUUAGCCAAGAUAAGCAGCCUCAAAGUUUUGAAUUUGUCUACCAACAACUUAACUGGGUCAAUACCAGCAUCUCUUGGCAGCCUGGAACUCCUUGAGGACCUAGAUUUGUCAUUCAACCAUCUUAAUGGAGAGGUUCCAACAAAAGGGAUCUUCAGGAAUGCAACUACCUUGAAGAUUAACGGAAAUCAAGGGCUUUGUGGCGGGGUAAAGGAGUUACACAUACUAGCUUGUUCUGACGUGCCUUCAAAUUCAACUAGGCACAAGGAAUCUUUAGUGCUCAAAGUGGUCAUCCCAAUAGCAUGUGUUGUGUCACUUGCUGUAGUCAUAUUUGGCUAUUUGCUAUGGAUAAGAAAACACAAUAGCAAAUCUAUAUCACUGCCAUCGUUUUCUACAAAAUUACCGAAAGUUUCUUUCAACGACCUAACUAGAGCAACAGCAGGGUUCUCCACGCCUAAUUUGAUUGGUAGAGGAAGAUACAGUUCUGUAUACCAAGGAAAACUACUUGAAGACCAAAAUGAGGUUGCCAUAAAAGUCUUCAACCUAGAGAUAAGAGGAGCACACAAGAGCUUCAUUGCAGAAUGUAAUGCAUUGAGAAAUGUGCGACAUCGCAAUCUGGUCCCUAUUCUGACUGCAUGCUCAAGUAUUGAUUCUAAGGGCAAUGACUUCAAGGCCCUGGUGUAUGAGCUCAUGCCACGUGGAGACUUACAUAAGCUACUAUACUCAACUCAAGACUAUGAAUGCUCUUCAGAUUUGAACCUCAUUAUGAUGGCUCAAAGGAUAAGCAUUGUGGUGGACGUGGCAGAUGCACUGGAGUAUCUACACCAUAAUAACCAAGAAACAAUGAUUCAUUGUGAUCUGAAGCCUAGCAACAUUCUUUUGGAUGAUAAUAUGACAGCUCAUGUUGGAGACUUUGGGCUGUCAAGAUUCAAAGUUGGUUCUACAAUGUCAUCUCUUGGUAACCCCAACUCUUCUUCUGUUGCAGUAAUGGGGACGAUUGGAUACGCCGCUCCAGAAUAUGCUGGGGGCGGUCAAGUUUCAACUGCCGCGGAUGUUUACAGCUUUGGUGUCGUUCUCCUCGAGAUAUUUGUUCGAAGAAGGCCAACGGAUGACAUGUUUAAGGAUGGACUCAACAUUGUGAACUUUAUAGAGGCUAGCUUCCCCGGUAGGGUAUUGGAGAUUGUCGACCCCCAACUUCUACAGGAGUUGGAGGAAACUCCAAUGGCCUUGAAGGAAAAAUGUUCAGAAUGUCUUUUGUCUAUGCUAAAGGUUGGCCUUUCUUGCACCAAGCCAUCUCCCGGUGAUCGUAUCAACAUGCAGGAGGUGGCGGCCAAGCUACAUGGAAUCAAGGAUGCUUACUUUGAUGCUAACUGA